UCACACUAGAUUUGCGGUUGAAAACAUUUUUUUUCUUUAAACCACAAGAAGCCUGUCUUCAAAAGAAGUCUUGCCGGGAAGCAGAAACAAAGGAGGUACCUGUGAGCUGGGCUGCUCUAAUCAAAAGGGGAGAAGUGAGUUCUAGAAACCUGCCCACCAAGGUGGGGCUUUACUAAGCAGGGUCUGAAACCCAUUUGCUAUCAUCGCCUAAGCCAGUUAGUAGAGAUGCAGCCGAUGAUGGCCUCCUGCCUUCUCCCAACCUGCCUUUGUCCUUAAGAGGAGAACAAGGCCCAACAUGUUUGCUGAGGCCUCUCCUGGGGAGAAGAUGCAUGUGAGGAUAUGAGAAGAAAGCCAUCUGCAAACCAGGAAGAGGGCUCUCAUCAGAACAGAAGCUGCCAGGACCUUGAUCUUGGACUUUCAGCUUCCAGAACUGUGCGAAAAGCAGUUUGGAGGCAAUGUCACAAAUCCUGGGCCCAGGCUUGAAUAAAGCUGGCAAGUUCCUUUCCUUGCUGAUCCACAGUGAAAACGUGAUGGCCAAAGUAGAUGAAGUGAAGUCCAUAAUUAAAUUCCCAGUUGAAGAUGGUGUGGCGUCUGGCAGUGGCUAUCGGCCAUGUGAAGAUGACAGAGGAUGAGCUUGGGCACAACAUCCACUUAGCUGUCAAUUUCCUGGUACCAUUGCUCAAGAAGAAUUGACAGAACAUCCAGGCUUUAUACCUCAAGAGCACCACGGGCAAGUCCCAGAGCCUGUACUAAGGCACAACUUAAUAAACCCUAGCGCUACCACUAAAUAAAUCUAUCUAUCAUCUAUCUAUCUAUCAUCUAUCUAUCUAUCUAUCUAUCUAUCAUCUAUCUACCUCACUCCUUCAGACCAUCCACCAAUUUUGUAAGAACUCAGUACUGGAAUGAAAUCCCUCUCUGCUUUAAAUAUCUAGAGUGGCUUCUGUAUUCUGAGUGAAUUCUGUCUGGUACAGAAGAGAUAGAUACUUGGGACCCCAUUUGGACCAAGGAGAGACGUGUCACAGAAUUUCAUUCCAAAAGUUGAUAAAUAGAGGCUAACUUUCCAAUGGAGUUGGAGGUUAUGAGGCCAGAGCAGCUGGCAGCCAUCUUGCCUUCACAAAAGAGCUUGUGUGAGAAAAGUACCAAUUAGGGGGCCAAGCCAAGAGAUAAGAGAAGCCUGACCUUGACACCAUUUAGGUAAUUGAAUCAAGUAAUAUGUUGUGCCAAACCUUUCCCUGGACUUUCCAGUUAUAUGAGCCAAUACAUUCCUCCUUCUCUCUGAGACAGCUGGAGUUGAGCUAGUCUAUCAUUUGACCAAAACGUAACUUAUUUGGCAUAAUGAUGACCACAGGAGAGAAAUAACAGAGCAGCAGUGGUCAGAUUGCUAUAGAUCACAUAUUCUCAAUCAGUGGUCUGCAUCGUACAAGUGAACAGGUCUGGGCCUGGGCCUUCUAGGUCACAUGAGGGACACGUGAACAAUUGGAAAAUUCUCCCAGGUGAGCUGGUUCCCACGUGUACCCCUGGUGAACAUGGCUACUGUGGAUCAACUCACAAGGAAGGGAGAACAAAACAGUGGCCGUUUCUUGAGAACACUGGAAUGUUUGAAUCUUAGUUUCAAGCAUUAUUUUUUUUUACUUAAUUUUUAUUUUCUCCUUUUAGGGUUAAAAAAACAGUAUUAUAACCACCAGAUGAGAAUACUAUCAACUGAAAUAUUUCAGCCCAGCUUGUGUAAGCUGAAGCAGCUGGGCCAUUUUUUAAAAAAUUAUAAUAAAUAAGUGAAUACAUAAUCAAUCCCUCGAGUGCCAGCUCUCUAUUCUGUUUGCUCCCAGAGCUGUGAUUUUUCAUCUUUAUUCUGUGCCCCCAGAAAGAAAAGCAACAUAGGGAAAAAUGUUGACAGACUGUUCUCUGUGACAUCAACCAACAGAAAAAGCUAAAUUGUUGAUGCUCAUUCCAGAAGACAUUUCUACUGUGGGUUUUGGUGGGUGCAGAUUUAGAAUAACCCUUCCUUUUCUGGAUUAAAUAUUAACUAUUUAAUACAAAAAGCCACCUGAGAAGAAAACCCAAAUGUUUUGAUGUCUGCAAUGUGUGUCUGCAAUGUGUGCAAAACACAACAGCGGCAGAAAUAGGCCUAUGGAGUGUAGUUAACAAGCACAGAACUAAAUAUUGAUCAAGCAUUUCUCAAGUGCCCGGCCAGGUCUCCUGCAGCCAAAGAUGAGCCCGACAUGCUCCAUUGGUUCAAGAAAUUUACUGUCUACAGAGGAACAGACUUGGUGAAAAAACAUAAUCACUUGAUAGAGGAUUUCAUCUUUGGAAUCAAACAAAACUUAUUCAAAGACACAUCUGAAGCAUAAGCUGAGUGAUCAAACCAGCUGACUCUGAGGUUUGACUCUUAGGAUGGCUCUGAAGUCAGUUCCCAAAGAUGAUUACUGCAAAUAUCAUAAGCAUCCUAGAAUGUGUGUGUUAGCUCCAAAAGUACCACUUUGAAGGGGCAAAUUCAUUUCACAUAUAAGUUCCAGUUUGUGGGGGUUUUUUUGUGGGUUUUUUUUUUCUGGUUUUUGUUUUUAGGAACAUAUACAAGCAAAAGAAAUCCCAUGAUUAAAUGCUUGGUUGACAGAAUUCUUCCCUAAACGGAAUUUCUUCAAGAUGUCCCUGGAUGCGAAUACUUAUUAGGCCACAUAAGCAUUAACAUUCAAUUAUACUGGCCCAUUGCCUGUGCCUUGGCAUCCCCUGUAAGGCUCCUGCUGGGUAUUGCUGGAGACUUGUCUAUGUGAAAGAACAAUCUCUGCUCUCAGGCCCUUCUGCCUGGCCCCUCACUGCGGACCACUGCCCCCAAAGCCACUCAUGGCCAUUUUGGCCAGGAUAUCUGGAAGCAGUGCCUUCCUCCUUGAGCUCCUGGACACCCUGCAGAUAUGGGGAGAUAGACCUCUAUCCCAAUCCUGCCUUGUAUUUUGUCCUCAGGACCCGAGUCUUGGAAGCUCCCACUGCAAGCAGGUCACUGACCUGCCUGUAGCUUCUUUCCAAUCCCAGCCCCUCUACUACAAAGCAGGAGUCCUAGACAGCACACCAUCCAGCUCCACUCCCUCCCCACCAGGGUCUGAACUGAAGUCCACAUAACCUCCUCUCUUUCUGCACACUGACCCCUGAGGAGCUGGCUACCAGCUUGUGGCUCUGCCAGAUAACACAUUCCCAUUAGGUUCAGCUACUUCUAAAAUAAAGAUCAGGCAAAAGUCUGAAGAAGUGAGAUUCCCUCCUAACACUUCUCUUGAUUUCUGACAGAGCUGACUUGAGGUCAAAGCUUACAAUGAGUUAACAGAAUGGGUUCUGGGCAGGAGGCUGCCACUCUCCAUUGAAAGGGUGGGGACGGUGUCUGCGAUUGACUGUGCAAUUGAGACAGCUCACAGACUCCAGGCGGCAGGGACGUCCAACAACUCACAAGGCCAAGGAAAA
Lynx canadensis (Canada lynx) is the source of this 3444-nucleotide long non-coding RNA. RefSeq lists it as uncharacterized. The record is from RefSeq and is a predicted model, not a curated record. The transcript has 3 exons. Lineage: Eukaryota; Metazoa; Chordata; Mammalia; Carnivora; Felidae.